UACGGGGGGGGCAAGCGUUGUUCGGAAUUACUGGGCGUAAAGGGCUCGUAGGCGGCCAACUAAGUCGGACGUGAAAUCCCUCGGCUUAACCGGGGAACUGCGUCCGAUACUGGAUGGCUUGAGUUCGGGAGAGGGAUGCGGAAUUCCAGGUGUAGCGGUGAAAUGCGUAGAUAUCUGGAGGAACACCGGUGGCGAAGGCGGCAUCCUGGACCGAUAUUGACGCUGAUGCGCGAAAGCCAGGGGAGCAAACGGG
Molecule: ribosomal RNA, 253 nt
Filed under: uncultured bacterium
Lineage: Bacteria
Description: partial 16S ribosomal RNA
Rfam family: Bacterial small subunit ribosomal RNA
Source: RNAcentral